CUGGACCUCAGCUCAGGCGUGACUACCCGCUGAAUUUAAGCAUAUCAAUAAGCGGAGGAAAAGAAACCAACAGGGAUUCCCCCAGUAAC
This 89-nucleotide ribosomal RNA is filed under the name Spongilla lacustris. Its description in RNAcentral is "partial 28S ribosomal RNA". It matches the Rfam family "Eukaryotic large subunit ribosomal RNA", at positions 1 to 87 of the family's 3401-position model. Lineage: Eukaryota; Metazoa; Porifera; Demospongiae; Spongillida; Spongillidae. The record is from RNAcentral.